AAAGAGUUUCACAAAACUCCUUAAACCCCACUGUGAACCUACCUGUUAUUUGUUGCCUCGGCGGGCAGCCCCAGGGCGGGGCCCUCGCCUGGAGGGGAAAUAUCACUUCCUUCCCCGGGUGCUCGCCGGAGGAUUCUCCCAAAAACUCUUUAAUUUACUGUUACUCUGAGCUGCAGCAAGCAAAAUAAGUAA
This 192-nucleotide unclassified non-coding RNA is filed under the name uncultured Ascomycota. Its description in RNAcentral is "sequence contains ITS1". The record is from RNAcentral. Lineage: Eukaryota; Fungi; Ascomycota.